AGCGAACGCUGGCGGCAGGCUUAACACAUGCAAGUCGAACGCCCCGCAAGGGGAGUGGCAGACGGGUGAGUAACACGUGGGAACGUACCCUUUGGUUCGGAAUAACUUGGGGAAACUCAAGCUAAUACCGGAUAAGCCCUUAUGGGGAAAGGUUUACUGCCGGAGGAUCGGCCCGCGUCUGAUUAGCUAGUUGGUGAGGUAACGGCUCACCAAGGCGACGAUCAGUAGCUGGCCUGAGAGGAUGAUCAGCCACACUGGGACUGAGACACGGCCCAGACUCCUCCGGGAGGCAGCAGUGGGGAAUAUUGGACAAUGGGGGCAACCCUGCUCCAGCCAUGCCGCGUGAGUGAUGAAGGCCUUAGGGGUGUAAGGCUCUUUUACCCGGGACGAUAAUGACUGUACCGGGAGAAUAAGCCCCGGCUAACUUCGUGCCAGCAGCCGCCGCGG
This 447-nucleotide ribosomal RNA is filed under the name uncultured bacterium. Its description in RNAcentral is "partial 16S ribosomal RNA". It matches the Rfam family "Bacterial small subunit ribosomal RNA", at positions 29 to 523 of the family's 1533-position model. The record is from RNAcentral.